UCUGCAGUGCCGCACACAGACAGGAGACCAGCAUUACAGCAACAACCGAGGGGCCACUGCCUGAUGAAUUGCCAGAGGGGAACCACCAGCUCUGCUUUUAAUAACCGGAUCUGCAUCCUGCUGCUGCCCAGCUGGGCUGAGGGCCCUGACCACGGCUAAGGGGAGUCAUCACAGGGCUUCAGGGCUGGAAUUCCAGUGCUGCAGGAUGAGUGGCGCUGGUCUCGGGAUCCGCAGAGUCUACAGGGCCCUGGGCUUGGACACCGUCUCAGGGGUUUGUGCCUUCAGAGCCUGGUGGAGCAGCCAAGCAACUGGGCACAUGAAGGCAAAGUGCUUGGUGCUGGAGCCCGGAGCAGGAGGCCAAGAGAGGAAAGGAGUGCCAUCCGAUGGCACUGGCGUGGCAGACAGGAUCACAGUUACUACUCAUGGCAGAAAGCUUCAAAGUAGCCAGGCCCCUCGGUGGAAGGAAGAGACGAGGCUUCUAAUUUUGUCUUUACUACUUACUAGCUGAGUGACCACAAAUGCAGCCUGUUGGAACUCAGAAAAUAACACCCCAAAAUGAAAGCCUCAGAAGCAAAAGUGACCUUCUAUUCUAGCCUUCUAGCCUUCUCCUGCCCUCCUGUGUCCGUCCCCCAAGGACGGACGUAGAAAAGAGCAUCCCUCCUCCUCAAGGCGUGUUAUAGAAAUCAAAACCCCUUUUCCCCAAAGCUAGCCAUAAAGCCUACAAACUCUAACUUUCCCCAAUUUCUGUGUAAAAACUGGCCACAAAUAAAUUCUCAGGCCUAGGUGGGGCAUGGUGGCUCACACCUAUAAUCCCAGCACUUUG
This 823-nucleotide small RNA is filed under the name Pan troglodytes (chimpanzee). RNAcentral's name for it is "processed transcript". Lineage: Eukaryota; Metazoa; Chordata; Mammalia; Primates; Hominidae. The record is from RNAcentral.